RNAcentral lists this long non-coding RNA (1058 nucleotides) under Vulpes vulpes (red fox). RNAcentral describes it as "lncRNA (ENSVVUG00000014010.1)". The record is from RNAcentral. Lineage: Eukaryota; Metazoa; Chordata; Mammalia; Carnivora; Canidae.
CUUGAAUCUACAUGAAUGUAGGUGAAGAACCAGAAACAACUGAGGUCUGUCUACUGAAAAAUUGAAAAACCAAACUCUUGAAGGGACAUGCCACUUAUUUUACAGGGCAAAGAAAGUACUUACAAGAGUUAUGGUAGAAAUCAGACUAGGAAUCAGCAGAGAUAGCAAUUAGCACUGACAUCCCUGGUGGAUUUGAACAGUGUGAGUCUAUAGUGGCCACUUGCAUCCAAUUCAGUGACUUCCUGGAAGAAGGUACUGCAGCCCGGAGGUGAGAACACAAAAGGGAGGGGAGAAUUGACAUGACAAGGAGAACAAGGAAGCUGGAGGCAAAAAGCCAGACCAUGGCCUUGGGUUCAUGCUUGAGCACGGAGUUUAAAUGAAUGACUUCCACCUGAGAGUCCCCUCUGCCAAGUCGACAUGACAAGGAGAACAAGGAAGCUGGAGGCAAAAAGCCAGACCAUGGCCUUGGGUUCAUGCUUGAGCACGGAGUUUAAAUGAAUGACUUCCACCUGAGAGUCCCCUCUGCCAAGUCCAGGAGGGAUGGAGUAUGCCCUUCAUCUUCAACAUUGAACAGACUUAAUGCUUCUUCCCAAUGCAGAAUGGCAAAAGGAUCUAAUGUAAAUUCAAUACAGAAUGUUUUAAUAUGUGGCAGAACAACAGGGUGAUGGUGAAAAGGUCAGUUAACCAAUGGGUUGGUUUGUCAUGAUGGCACGAAUGAGUUAUUUUAAAUGAUUCUCCCACUAAAUUUUCCAGAUGUUUUGGACAUGGGCCAGGAUAAUUAAUAUUGCUGAUCCACUUGCUAGAAUUAAGCUGGCAAGCUAAUUCACAGAGUUAGAAAUCAGAACUCUGGGUUGGGGUUGUUGGUAAGCCAUGUGCAUUAUGUUUAAAUGAAACAUGCUUGUCUCAUCGCUGACCCAGACCAAAAAUUUGCUGAGGUACUUGAGAUGAUUACUCAUUUUUCAUCAUCAGAAAGUAAAUCAAAGUAGAUGCCAUGCUUUUGUUUGAUUUUUAUUCCCUAGAAAGAUCUCUUUAUAUUCAUGACAAAUCUUAUGUUCAAC